This 22-nucleotide microRNA is filed under the name Homo sapiens (human). Its description in RNAcentral is "hsa-miR-6784-3p". The record is from miRBase by way of RNAcentral. Lineage: Eukaryota; Metazoa; Chordata; Mammalia; Primates; Hominidae.
UCUCACCCCAACUCUGCCCCAG